GUGGGUAUAGUUCAGUUGGUAGAGCGCCAGUUUGUGGAUCUGGAUGUCAAGGGUUCGAGUCCCUUUAUCCACC
This is a transfer RNA of Clostridium acidisoli DSM 12555, 73 nucleotides long. It matches the Rfam family "tRNA". Rfam says of the family: Transfer RNA (tRNA) molecules are approximately 80 nucleotides in length. Their secondary structure includes four short double-helical elements and three loops (D, anti-codon, and T loops). Further hydrogen bonds mediate the characteristic L-shaped molecular structure. tRNAs have two regions of fundamental functional importance: the anti-codon, which is responsible for specific mRNA codon recognition, and the 3' end, to which the tRNAs corresponding amino acid is attached (by aminoacyl-tRNA synthetases). tRNAs cope with the degeneracy of the genetic code in two manners: having more than one tRNA (with a specific anti-codon) for a particular amino acid; and 'wobble' base-pairing, i.e. permitting non-standard base-pairing at the 3rd anti-codon position. The record is from Rfam. NCBI's taxonomy places the organism in Bacteria, Bacillati, Bacillota, Clostridia, Eubacteriales, Clostridiaceae.